GACGUAGGGCGCGAGCGUUGUCCGGAUUUAUUGGGCGUAAAGAGCUCGUAGGCGGCUUGUCGCGUCUGCUGUGAAAAUCCGGGGCUCAACCCCGGACUUGCAGUGGGUACGGGCAGACUAGAGUGUGGUAGGGGAGACUGGAAUUCCUGGUGUAGCGGUGAAAUGCGCAGAUAUCAGGAGGAACACCGAUGGCGAAGGCAGGUCUCUGGGCCACUACUGACGCUGAGGGACGAAAGCUAGGGGAGCGAAUGGG
Molecule: ribosomal RNA, 253 nt
Filed under: uncultured bacterium
Lineage: Bacteria
Description: partial 16S ribosomal RNA
Rfam family: Bacterial small subunit ribosomal RNA
Source: RNAcentral